GACGAACGCUGGCGGCGUGCUUAACACAUGCAAGUCGAACGGAAAGGCCCUGCUUUUGUGGGGUGCUCGAGUGGCGAACGGGUGAGUAACACGUGAGUAACCUGCCCUUGACUUUGGGAUAACUUCAGGAAACUGGGGCUAAUACCGGAUAGGAGCUCCUGCUGCAUGGUGGGGGUUGGAAAGUUUCGGCGGUUGGGGAUGGACUCGCGGCUUAUCAGCUUGUUGGUGGGGUAGUGGCUUACCAAGGCUUUGACGGGUAGCCGGCCUGAGAGGGUGACCGGCCACAUUGGGCCUGGGAGACGGCCCAGACUCCUACGGGAGGCAGCAGUGGGGAAUAUUGCACAAUGGGCGGAAGCCUGAUGCAGCAACGCCGCGUGCGGGAUGACGGCCUUCGGGUUGUAAACCGCUUUCGCCUGUGACGAAGCGUGAGUGACGGUAAUGGGUAAAGAAGCACCGGCUAACUACGUG
Molecule: ribosomal RNA, 468 nt
Filed under: uncultured bacterium
Lineage: Bacteria
Description: partial 16S ribosomal RNA
Rfam family: Bacterial small subunit ribosomal RNA
Source: RNAcentral